GUGGGGAAUAUUGGACAAUGGGCGAAAGCCUGAUCCAGCAAUGCCGCGUGAGUGAUGAAGGCCUUAGGGUUGUAAAGCUCUUUUACCCGGGAUUAUAAUGACAGUACCGGGAGAAUAAGCUCCGGCUAACUCCGUGCCAGCAGCCGCGGUAAUACGGAGGGAGCUAGCGUUGUUCGGAAUUACUGGGCGUAAAGCGCACGUAGGCGGCUUUGUAAGUUAGAGGUGAAAGCCUGGAGCUUAACUCCAGAACUGCCUUUAAGACUGCAUCGCUUGAAUCCAGGAGAGGUGAGUGGAAUUCCGAGUGUAGAGGUGAAAUUCGUAGAUAUUCGGAAGAACACCAGUGGCGAAGGCGACUCACUGGACUGGUAUUGACGCUGAGGUGCGAAAGCGUGGGGAGCAAACAGGAUUAGAAACCCGAGUAGUCC
This 425-nucleotide ribosomal RNA is filed under the name uncultured bacterium. RNAcentral's name for it is "partial 16S ribosomal RNA". It matches the Rfam family "Bacterial small subunit ribosomal RNA", at positions 354 to 796 of the family's 1533-position model. The record is from RNAcentral.